Molecule: ribosomal RNA, 253 nt
Filed under: uncultured bacterium
Lineage: Bacteria
Description: partial 16S ribosomal RNA
Rfam family: Bacterial small subunit ribosomal RNA
Source: RNAcentral
UACGUAGGGGGCAAGCGUUAUCCGGAUUUACUGGGUGUAAAGGGAGCGUAGACGGCAGUGCAAGUCUGGAGUGAAAGGCGGUGGCUCAACCCCCGGACUGCUCUGGAAACUGUACGGCUGGAGUGCAGGAGAGGUAAGUGGAAUUCCUAGUGUAGCGGUGAAAUGCGUAGAUAUUAGGAGGAACACCAGUGGCGAAGGCGGCUUACUGGACUGUAACUGACGUUGAGGCUCGAAAGCGUGGGGAGCAAACAGG